UACGUAGGGUGCGAGCGUUGCCCGGAUUUAUUGGGCGUAAAGGGCUCGUAGGCGGUUUGUCACGUCGGGAGUGAAAACUCAGGGCUCAACCCUGAGCGUGCUUCCGAUACGGGCAGACUAGAGGUAUGCAGGGGAGAACGGAAUUCCUGGCGUAGCGGUGGAAUGCGCAGAUAUCAGGAGGAACACCGGUGGCGAAGGCGGUUCUCUGGGCAUUACCUGACGCUGAGGAGCGAAAGCAUGGGGAGCGAACAGG
RNAcentral lists this ribosomal RNA (253 nucleotides) under uncultured bacterium. RNAcentral describes it as "partial 16S ribosomal RNA". It matches the Rfam family "Bacterial small subunit ribosomal RNA", at positions 524 to 776 of the family's 1533-position model. The record is from RNAcentral.